RNAcentral lists this ribosomal RNA (440 nucleotides) under uncultured bacterium. Its description in RNAcentral is "bacterial SSU rRNA". It matches the Rfam family "Bacterial small subunit ribosomal RNA", at positions 8 to 480 of the family's 1533-position model. The record is from RNAcentral.
AGAGUUUGAUCCUGGCUCAGAAUCAACGCUGGCGGCGUGCCUAACACAUGCAAGUCGAACGAGAAAGUGGAGCAAUCCAUGAGUAAAGUGGCGACCGGGUGAGUAACACGUGACUAACCUACCCUCGAGUGUGGAAUAACAUCGGGAAACCGAUGCUAAUACCGCAUAAUAUCGCAAGAUCAAAGCAGCAAUGCGCUUGAGGAGGGGGUCGCGGCUGAUUAGCUAGUUGGCGGGGUAACGGCCCACCAAGGCGAAGAUCGGUAGCCGGCCUGAGAGGGCGCACGGCCACACUGGAACUGAAACACGGUCCAGACUCCUACGGGAGGCAGCAGUGGGGAAUUUUGCGCAAUGGGGGAAACCCUGACGCAGCAACGCCGCGUGGAGGAUGAAGCCCCUUGGGGUGUAAACUCCUUUCGACCAAGACGAUAAUGACGGUACUG